Molecule: unclassified non-coding RNA, 215 nt
Filed under: plant metagenome
Description: partial contains small subunit ribosomal RNA and internal transcribed spacer 1
Source: RNAcentral
AAGUCGAACAACGGUUCUCCGUUGGUGAACCAGCGGAGGGAUCAUUGCAGGCACGCCGCCCCAGCCGCAGACCCUGAAACCCAUUUGCAUUAUCUUACUUGCUCGGCGUCGUGUUCCGCUCGGGCCCCUCACCUGCGGUGUUGAGAGGCCCGCGGGGCCAACCUAACUCUUGUUUUUACACUGAAACUCGAGAAUAAAAUCAUAAAUGAACAAAA